GACGAACGCUGGCGGCGUGCUUAACACAUGCAAGUCGAACGGAAAGGCCCUGCUUUUGUGGGGUGCUCGAGUGGCGAACGGGUGAGUAACACGUGAGUAACCUGCCCUUGACUUUGGGAUAACUUCAGGAAACUGGGGCUAAUACCGGAUAGGAGCUCCUGCUGCAGGGUGGGGGUUGGAAAGUUUCGGCGGGUGGGGAUGGACUGGCGGCUGAUCAGCUUGUUGGUGGGGUAGUGGCUUACCAAGGAUUGGACGGGUAGCCGGCCUGAGAGGGUGACCGGCGACAUUGGGACUGAGAUACGGCCCAGACUCCUACGGGAGGCAGCAGUGGGGAAUAUUGCACAAUGGGCGGAAGCCUGAUGCAGCAACGCCGCGUGCGGGAUGACGGCCUUCGGGGUGUAAACCGCUUUCGCCUGUGACGAAGCGUGAGUGACGGUAAUGGGUAAAGAAGCACCGGCUAACUACGUG
RNAcentral lists this ribosomal RNA (468 nucleotides) under uncultured bacterium. RNAcentral's name for it is "partial 16S ribosomal RNA". It matches the Rfam family "Bacterial small subunit ribosomal RNA", at positions 28 to 507 of the family's 1533-position model. The record is from RNAcentral.